GAUGAACGCUGGCGGCGUGCCUAAUACAUGCAAGUCGAGCGAACAGACGAGGAGCUUGCUCCUCUGACGUUAGCGGCGGACGGGUGAGUAACACGUGGAUAACCUACCUAUAAGACUGGGAUAACUUCGGGAAACCGGAGCUAAUACCGGAUAACAUGUUGAACCGCAUGGUUCAACAGUGAAAGACGGUCUUGCUGUCACUUAUAGAUGGAUCCGCGCCGCAUUAGCUAGUUGGUAAGGUAACGGCUUACCAAGGCAACGAUGCGUAGCCGACCUGAGAGGGUGAUCCGCCACACUGGAACUGAGACACGGUCCAGACUCCUACGGGAGGCAGCAGUAGGGAAUCUUCCGCAAUGGGCGAAAGCCUGACGGAGCAACGCCGCGUGAGUGAAGAAGGUCUUCGGAUCGUAAAACUCUGUUAUUAGGGAAGAACAAAUGUGUAAGUAACUAUGCACGUCCUGACGGUACCUAAUCAGAAAGCCACGGCUAACUACGUG
Molecule: ribosomal RNA, 497 nt
Filed under: uncultured bacterium
Lineage: Bacteria
Description: partial 16S ribosomal RNA
Rfam family: Bacterial small subunit ribosomal RNA
Source: RNAcentral